UACGGGGGGGGGCAAGCGUUGUUCGGAAUUACUGGGCGUAAAGGGCUCGUAGGCGGCCAACUAAGUCGGAUGUGAAAUCCCCAGGCUUAACCUGGGAACUGCAUCCGAUACUGGAUGGCUUGAAUCCGGGAGAGGGAUGCGGAAUUCCAGGUGUAGCGGUGAAAUGCGUAGAUAUUCGGAGGAACACCAGUGGCGAAGGCGGCUCACUGGCUCGGUACUGACGCUGAGGUGCGAAAGCGUGGGGAGCAAACAGG
Molecule: ribosomal RNA, 254 nt
Filed under: uncultured bacterium
Lineage: Bacteria
Description: partial 16S ribosomal RNA
Rfam family: Bacterial small subunit ribosomal RNA
Source: RNAcentral